UAAUCAACUACAAUUACAGAGAAGGUUGUGGUUUCAGAGAGUAAGACAACUUCAAACUACUGUACGGCCAUUAAAGCUGCAGUAUGGUGGGAGGCAUCUAAGCAUUUACUGUGUCAGAACCUCCUUCGUAACAGCAUAGCUUGCCACGAAUGCUCAGGCCAGGUAGCAUGUCCACCUGAGACGGCGGAUAAAGUUUUCCUGUGACGAUGGUAAACAGCCGGAAACCAGGGAGUCGAGAUGUGGAGCCUGCGCUCACACUCCCGUGUGCCGCACCGUGACCAACGCACAGCCCCGCUUUUAGCAGCACUCCCACGAGAAAGGCAGGGAAAGACGGGACGACAUGCAGGCAUCUUCGAGAUGAACAACUUAAAGAUUUCACUCAGAAACUCUUAAGAAAAAGGCUGAUCGUUUUUGCAAACCUGGCAUCUAUUAACACAUGACUUUAUCUAGCAAUCCAACAAUUUAAUGCAAAAAAACCCUUCAAUUCGACAAACUGAUUUUAGACACAUUUCACACGCAGCAGA
Long non-coding RNA from Xiphophorus couchianus (Monterrey platyfish), 524 nucleotides. RefSeq lists it as uncharacterized. The transcript has 3 exons. NCBI's taxonomy places the organism in Eukaryota, Metazoa, Chordata, Actinopteri, Cyprinodontiformes, Poeciliidae. The record is from RefSeq and is a predicted model, not a curated record.